CCUACGGGAGGCAGCAGUAGGGAAUCUUCCGCAAUGGACGAAAGUCUGACGGAGCAACGCCGCGUGAGUGAAGAAGGUUUUCGGAUCGUAAAACUCUGUUGUCAGGGAAGAACAAGUACCAUAGUAACUGAUGGUACCUUGACGGUACCUGACCAGAAAGCCACGGCUAACUACGUGCCAGCAGCCGCGGUAAUACGUAGGUGGCAAGCGUUGUCCGGAAUUAUUGGGCGUAAAGCGCGCGCAGGCGGUCCUUUAAGUCUGAUGUGAAAGCCCACGGCUCAACCGUGGAGGGUCAUUGGAAACUGGGGGACUUGAGUGCAGAAGAGGAGAGUGGAAUUCCACGAGUAGCGGUGAAAUGCGUAGAGAUGUGGAGGAACACCAGUGGCGAAGGCGACUCUCUGGUCUGUAACUGACGCUGAGGCGCGAAAGCGUGGGGAGCGAACAGGAUUAGAUACCCUGGUAGUCCACGCCGUAAACGAUGAGUGCUAAGUGUUAGAGGGUUUCCGCCCUUUAGUGCUGCAGCAAACGCAUUAAGCACUCCGCCUGGGGAGUACGGCCGCAAGGCUGAAACUCAAAGGAAUUGACGGGGGCCCGCACAAGCGGUGGAGCAUGUGGUUUAAUUCGAAGCAACGCGAAGAACCUUACCAGGUCUUGACAUCCUCUGACAACUCUAGAGAUAGAGCGUUCCCCUUCGGGGGACAGAGUGACAGGUGGUGCAUGGUUGUCGUCAGCUCGUGUCGUGAGAUGUUGGGUUAAGUCCCGCAACGAGCGCAACCCUUGAUCUUAGUUGCCAGCAUUCAGUUGGGCACUCUAAAGUGACUGCCGGUGACAAACCGGAGGAAGGUGGGGAUGACGUCAAAUCAUCAUGCCCCUUAUGACCUGGCUACACACGUGCUACAAUGGAUGGUACAAAGGGCUGCAAACUCGCGAGGGUAAGCGAAUCCCAUAAGCCAUUCUCAGUUCGGAUUGCAGCUGCACUCGCCUGCAUGAAGCAGAUCGCUAGUAUCGCGGAUCAGCAUGCUGCGUGAUACGUUCCCGG
This 1039-nucleotide ribosomal RNA is filed under the name uncultured bacterium. RNAcentral describes it as "bacterial SSU rRNA". It matches the Rfam family "Bacterial small subunit ribosomal RNA", at positions 338 to 1377 of the family's 1533-position model. The record is from RNAcentral.